This is a non-coding RNA of Odocoileus virginianus texanus, 963 nucleotides long. NCBI's taxonomy places the organism in Eukaryota, Metazoa, Chordata, Mammalia, Artiodactyla, Cervidae. The record is from RefSeq and is a predicted model, not a curated record.
CUAGGGUAAUAAUUCCUAUCACAUCUGUGUUCGUGGACCAGCUAACUCAGAGAUCCCUGGGUCAGUGAUCAUGGAGUGAGCCAAGCAGCCCGCCGUCUCAUGCCCAGAUCUCUCUGGGUGUGAGACUGCAGGUCCUCGGAGAGACGCAGGCACUGUCCUCCUGCUGGGCUCAUCAGACAUCCUCUCCUCCCGCCUCAGCCUCUCUCAGCACAGCUACAUCAGAAACUGCUGGUCUGUCCUACCGUGUUGUUCAAAUCCUACAAUCAAGGAUUUGCUGAGGUGUCGCCUCCCCAUGGUAUUGUUGAGCCUGCCUUUCUGUGACCCCUGUGUCUCCUAUUCUGCUAUUCCAUCAGAAGACCUGAUCCAACAGCCUGCCCCUGCAUGCCUCUGGAUGCGUCCAGUCCUGAGUGAGGCACAACCCAGACAUACAGAAAUGAUGACACAGAAGAAUUCAGACCCAUCGGUCCUGUCUCUUGUGCAAGCUGACCCAGCCAGCAAGACCACUUUGUGACCUCCCACCCUGGAUACUUCUGGUAACCAUACACAGUGUUGGAGCAGCACAGAUGGCCGUGGCCAGUUGCUUGGCAUAUAAUCAUAGAAAGUUACAACACCGCCAGCCCAAGCACCAACAUGACCAAGCCCUGACUUUCACGAUCAAGUCACUGAGUCCUUAAGAAGCAGAAUCUGAAGAUGACAAAAGCAGGGUACCAAUGAUGCUCAUUAUCCCAUGAUGUCCAAGGGGGACUUCACAAAUGGGCCCCUUUCUCUUGGAACCCAAGUACUUCUCAGAUGUCUUCCCACACAGGAGGGCUCUGGGCAGCCACCAUCACUUUACCUGAGUUAGCUUUUGAGUUCAAGUCUCUUUAUCACUCCUUCCCUAUAUGUGUACGUACAACUCUCUCAAGUAACAGAAAUAAAUUAAUUUGAUAGCUCAUCUUUAAAAAGUUUCAUUAAACCCCUGUG